CCACACCAAAAAACUUUCCACGUGAACUGUAACCGAAUUUGUUCUUGUGCUCGCUAAGGUGGUGCUCUGCGCUGUAAUGGUGCUAAGCUGCUGCCGAGGCUUGAGCUGAACGAAGGGGAUCUCGAUUUUCGAGUGAACUGAUGUUUUAUUUUAAACCAUUUUCCUAAUACUGAUUAUUACUCCGAAGAUGAAAGUCUUUGGUUUUAAUUCCAACAACUUUCAGCAGUGGAUGUCUAGGCUCGCACAUCGAUGAAGAACGCUGCGAACUGCGAUACGUAAUGCGAAUUGCAGAAUUCAGUGAGUCAUCGAGAUUUUGAACGCAUAUUGCACUUUCGGGUUAUGCCUGGAAGUAUGCCUGUAUCAGUGUCCGUAACACAAACUUGCCUUUCUUUUUCUGUGUAGUCAGGGGAGGAAAUGGCAGAAAAUGAGGUGUCUCGAGCACUCCGCUGUAUGGCGAGUGAGGUUCGAGUCCCUUGAAAUAUAGUUUGCUCUCUGUAGUGCUUUAAUGAGUGCGAUAGCUCGAAAAGUAGCGAUUGGCUCGGAUCGCCUUGUGCUGGUUUAGCGCAUUGGUGUGGACUAUGGAGUUGGCCCUAUUUGGCGGUAUGUUGGGCUUCGGCUUGACGUUGCAGCUGAGUGGGUGAGCCGGCUUCGUCUGUACUAUUGUGUGCUUUACUGUGUAGGGCUUGAACUGGGUUUUUGAGUUACCAAGUAGGUUGUUGCUACAUUUUGGUGCCUGUCCUGUACGAAUUGUCGGGAUGGUAAAGGAGGCUUACACCUUUUGGGAACAGAAUUGCCUGUAUGGGUAGUUCAAAUUUUCAA
This 819-nucleotide ribosomal RNA is filed under the name Pythiogeton zeae. RNAcentral describes it as "eukaryotic LSU rRNA". The stretch from base 215 to 369 matches the Rfam family "5.8S ribosomal RNA". Lineage: Eukaryota; Oomycota; Peronosporomycetes; Pythiales; Pythiogetonaceae. The record is from RNAcentral.